Molecule: ribosomal RNA, 242 nt
Filed under: uncultured bacterium
Lineage: Bacteria
Description: partial 16S ribosomal RNA
Rfam family: Bacterial small subunit ribosomal RNA
Source: RNAcentral
CGACGUGAGUAACCUGCCUUGGAGUGGGGAAUAACAGCUGGAAACAGCUGCUAAUACCGCAUAAUAUAUCUGGGUCGCAUGGCUCUGGAUAUCAAAGAUUUAUCGCUCUGAGAUGGACUCGCGUCUGAUUAGCUGGUUGGCGGGGUAACGGCCCACCAAGGCGACGAUCAGUAGCCGGACUGAGAGGUUGGCCGGCCACAUUGGGACUGAGACACGGCCCAGACUCCUACGGAAGGCAGCAG